RNAcentral lists this long non-coding RNA (1082 nucleotides) under Equus caballus (horse). Its description in RNAcentral is "lncRNA (ENSECAG00000057993.1)". Lineage: Eukaryota; Metazoa; Chordata; Mammalia; Perissodactyla; Equidae. The record is from RNAcentral.
CAAAAUUCUGCACAGCAGACGAGGAUGUCGCAACUAGGAGUGAUCCUGCUGCUUGAAAUGCACGUGUGUUAGUAUCCUCAUAUAUCCAGUACAUAAGGUGAACGCCUGCCAAAUGCAGUCCAAUUAACUAGCUGUGUGAUUUGAGGCAAGCAACUUCAUCUCAGCAGGUCUCAGUUUCCAAAUCCAUAAAAUGCACACUGCAUCGUGCUCCACUCUGACCAGCAAGCUCCUACACUGGGCCACCAAGUAACCUGCAUAAACACGCCAGGCAGCUCUGCUCCUACGCCAUUGCAAAGACACAGCUCCUCUGUGAAGCCAUCCCUGACUUUGUCAGGCUGACUUAGGCCAUAUCUUUCUCUAGGCUCACCGUGAACACUAUGGUAAAAGCACUGAGAACUUUUUGGAGAAUCUAGCAAACAAGCACUACUGGGCCUCUUCCCUUCACUCAAGAAUCACUCUCCGGCAAUCUUCAGAGGCAGCAUAAGAAGAGGUGACUGAGAACGAGGUCCAGCCUGCGUCUGACUUCCUCCCCCACUCGCCGCAUUAUUAGUGAUCUGUCUGGAGAGCUGGCUGAAGGCUCAGAGCCUGGGUGUGGUUCCUUGGAGUCAGGCAAGGGACAGAAGUCCUUACUAGAGAUGGGAGAGAGAAACUGAGCUGGAGGACAGAGCCAAACCCAAAACUGGGCUAGAGAGGUGAGGUGCAAAACUCAUGGAGAAGUCAGGUGGAAAACAAUUUGGAGGAGCCCAGGGAAGAGGAUUUCUAGAGGGGACUCGUCUCUGAGCGCUCACCCUUUGGGAACAGCGGGGAAGGAGGAGGGACUCACAGGCCACACCUGUCAACCAGACAGAGUUGCCUUUUCCAGCGCAGGUCAGCCUCUUAUCUCUCCAUUCCUCUGGACCUGGCCAGUUGUACCUGACCCCACCUCCACUCUCCAUAGGGAAAGCCCCCUUGUUGGGGCCUCCCUGCCAUUGUCCAGCUUCAGGCCUGCAAAAGCCCCAAGUUCUAACAGAGAGCUGGGAGGCCCCAGCCCACAUGUCAUCAUAAGCCUGACCACAGAGUGCUAAGUGAAACCAACACUUAGC